RNAcentral lists this ribosomal RNA (1335 nucleotides) under uncultured soil bacterium. Its description in RNAcentral is "bacterial SSU rRNA". It matches the Rfam family "Bacterial small subunit ribosomal RNA", at positions 27 to 1380 of the family's 1533-position model. The record is from RNAcentral.
GGAUGAACGCUGGCGGCGUGCCUAAUACAUGUAAGUCGAACGGAAGAUGUAGUAAUACGUCUUUAGUGGCGAACGGGUGAGUAACGCGUUGGUGACCUGCCCCGAAGAGAGGGAUAACAGACCGAAAGGUUUGCUAAUACCGCGUAAUUUCCUUCUAGUUAGAGAGGAGGGAAGAAAGGCCGAAAGGCGCUUUGGGAGGGGCCUGCGUCCCAUCAGCUAGUUGGCGAGGUAAAAGCUCACCAAGGCGAUGACGGGUAGGGGACCUGAGAGGGUGACCCCCCACAAUGGAACUGAAACACGGUCCAUACACCUACGGGUGGCAGCAGUAGGGAAUAUUGGUUAAUGGGCGAAAGCCCGACCCAGCAACGCCGCGUGCACGAAGAAGGCCUUCGGGUUGUAAAGUGCUUUUUAGUGGGAUGAGGAAGGACAGUACCACUAGAAUAAGUCUCGGCUAACUACGUGCCAGCAGCCGCGGUAAUACAGAGGUGGCAAGCGUUGUUCGGAAUUACUGGGCGUAAAGGGCGCGUAGGCGGCCCUGUAAGUCCCGCGUGAAAGCCCUCGACUCAACCGAGGAACUGCGCGGGAGACUGCAAGGCUUGAGUUCGGGAGAGGGAAGUGGAAUUCCGGGUGUAGCGGUGAAAUGCGCAGAUAUCCGGAGGAACACCGGUGGCGAAGGCGGCUUCCUGGACCGACACUGACGCUGAGGCGCGAAAGCUAGGGGAGCAAACGGGAUUAGAUACCCCGGUAGUCCUAGCUGUAAACGAUGAGUGCUGGGUGUAGGGGGUAUGAACCCCCCCUGUGCCGAAGCUAACGCAUUAAGCACUCCGCCUGGGGAGUACGGUCGCAAGGCUGAAACUCAAAGGAAUUGACGGGGGCCCGCACAAGCGGUGGAGCAUGUGGUUCAAUUCGACGCAACGCGCAGAACCUUACCGGGGUUCGAACUGCACGAGACAGCCCAAGAGAUUGGGUCUUCCUUCGGGACUCGUGUAGAGGUGCUGCAUGGCUGUCGUCAGCUCGUGUCGUGAGAUGUUGGGUUAAGUCCCGCAACGAGCGCAACCCUCGCCUUCUGUUGCCACCAGGUAAUGCUGGGCACUCUGAAGGUACUGCCGGCGACAAGCCGGAGGAAGGUGGGGAUGACGUCAAGUCCUCAUGGCCUUUAUGCCCCGGGCUACACACGUGCUACAAUGGCCGAUACAAAGGGUUGCAAAGCCGCGAGGUGGAGCUAAUCCCAAAAAAUCGGUCCCAGUUCGGAUUGCAGUCUGCAACUCGACUGCAUGAAGUUGGAAUCGCUAGUAAUCGCGGAUCAGAAUGCCGCGGUGAAUACGUUCCCGGGCC